This 253-nucleotide ribosomal RNA is filed under the name uncultured bacterium. RNAcentral's name for it is "partial 16S ribosomal RNA". It matches the Rfam family "Bacterial small subunit ribosomal RNA", at positions 524 to 776 of the family's 1533-position model. The record is from RNAcentral.
UACGUAGGUGGCAAGCGUUGUCCGGAUUUAUUGGGCUUAAAGGGCGCGUAGGCGGCUUUGUAAGUCAGUGGUGAAAUAUGGCAGCUCAACUGUCAGGGUGCCAUUGAUACUGCGGAGCUUGAGUACAGAUGAGGUAGGCGGAAUUGACGGUGUAGCGGUGAAAUGCUUAGAUAUCGUCAAGAACCCCGAUAGCGAAGGCAGCUUACUAGGCUGUAACUGACGCUGAGGCACGAAAGUGUGGGGAUCAAACAGG